Non-coding RNA from Arabidopsis thaliana x Arabidopsis arenosa, 107 nucleotides. The record is from the annotation of a GenBank genome assembly. NCBI's taxonomy places the organism in Eukaryota, Viridiplantae, Streptophyta, Magnoliopsida, Brassicales, Brassicaceae.
AAACCGUAAUGGAGGCACUGAGUGAUGUAACUUUUAAUCCUCUCCCAAGCUUCACAGAAAAUUUCAUUGUUUUACUGGUUGAAACCUGAGAUCCCGUUCCUCAAUCU